AACAAGCCGGGAUAGCUCAGUUGGUAGAGCAGAGGACUUG
Molecule: transfer RNA, 40 nt
Filed under: Physcomitrium serratum
Lineage: Eukaryota; Viridiplantae; Streptophyta; Bryopsida; Funariales; Funariaceae
Description: Aphanorrhegma serratum partial tRNA-Phe
Source: RNAcentral